Molecule: ribosomal RNA, 274 nt
Filed under: uncultured bacterium
Lineage: Bacteria
Description: partial 16S ribosomal RNA
Rfam family: Bacterial small subunit ribosomal RNA
Source: RNAcentral
AUACGAAGGGGGCAAGCGUUGUUCGGAAUAACUGGGCGUAAAGCGCACGUAGGCGGAACGUUAAGUUAGAGGUGAAAUCCCAGGGCUCAACCCUGGAACGGCCUUUAAUACUGGCAAUCUAGAGACCGAGAGAGGUGAGUGGAAUUCCGAGUGUAGAGGUGAAAUUCGUAGAUAUUCGGAGGAACACCAGUGGCGAAGGCGGCUCACUGGCUCGGUACUGACACUGAGGUGCGAAAGCGUGGGGAGCAAACAGGAUUAGAAACCCUAGUAGUCC